RNAcentral lists this ribosomal RNA (431 nucleotides) under uncultured bacterium. RNAcentral's name for it is "bacterial SSU rRNA". It matches the Rfam family "Bacterial small subunit ribosomal RNA", at positions 29 to 490 of the family's 1533-position model. The record is from RNAcentral.
AACGAACGCUGGCGGCAUGCCUAACACAUGCAAGUCGAACGGGAUCCAGGCUUCGGCCUGGUGAGAGUGGCGGACGGGUGAGUAACACGUGGGAACCUGCCUUUUUGGUUCGGGAUAACCGCGGGAAACUGCGGCUAAUACCGGAUGCUCCCGAGAGGGGAAAGAUUUAUCGCCAGAAGAGGGGCCCGCGUCCGAUUAGGUAGUUGGUGAGGUAAUGGCUCACCAAGCCGACGAUCGGUAGCUGGUCUGAGAGGAUGAUCAGCCACACUGGGACUGAGAUACGGCCCAGACUCCUACGGGAGGCAGCAGUGGGAAUAUUGGACAAGUGGGGCAACCCUGAUCCAGCAAUGCCGCGUGAGUGAUGAAGGCCUUAGGGUUGUAAAGCUUCUUUUUGCCGAGGGAAGAUAAUGACAGGUACCGGGAGAAUAAAG